UACGGAGGGUGCAAACGUUGCUCGGAAUCAUUGGGCGUAAAGCGCACGUAGGCGGUCCGGCAAGUCGGGUGUGAAAGCCCUCGGCUCAACCGAGGAAGUGCAUUCGAAACUACCGGACUUGAAUACUGGAGAGGGUCGCGGAAUUCCCGGUGUAGAGGUGAAAUUCGUAGAUAUCGGGAGGAACACCGGUGGCGAAGGCGGCCAUCUGGACGGAUACUGACGCUGAGACGCGAAAGCGUGGGUAGCAAACAGG
Molecule: ribosomal RNA, 253 nt
Filed under: uncultured bacterium
Lineage: Bacteria
Description: partial 16S ribosomal RNA
Rfam family: Bacterial small subunit ribosomal RNA
Source: RNAcentral